Molecule: long non-coding RNA, 1378 nt
Organism: Cyprinus carpio (common carp)
Lineage: Eukaryota; Metazoa; Chordata; Actinopteri; Cypriniformes; Cyprinidae
Source: Ensembl
CGGGGAACGUAAAAUAUACAGCUUUAUUUAUUGAAAACCUUUAAUAAAGAGCAGUAUGUGACUACGGAUUACUUUAUUCCCCACAUGGAUGGUUUUGAACUGGUUCCUUGCAAUGAAAUGAACUGUUCAAAAGAACCGACUCGCGAAAAGGAUUCAAACUUUCCUUCACUAGAACGUGCAGCUGUGAUAGCGGUCGGAAGAAACAGCACCUACUGUGAACUGUUCCUAGAGUGAGUUAACUAAUACAGUUCUGAAAGUAUUUAUCUAAUAAAUCAAAGAGCAGCUGCCAAAGUAUCUCAUGGGAGAAGUUCAACUCUGUACCACAAAGGACCGUCCCUCAUCCCAGGAGGUGCGCAGAGGGAAGUGUAUGCCCGGAGAGGGGGACAUUGAGACUGCACUGGCCUGGUUGAGGAAGGAGCUGAUGGAGAUGCGCUCUCAGGACCAAGCUUUGAUUCGCCAGCUGAUGGAUCUCCAUGAUGGCAUUCAGGAACUAAAGCAGGAGUGUGCAAAAGCCAUAGAAGAAGAGGAGGAGGAGGAGGAGGAGGAGGAGGAACCUUGUUGGGACUCUGGGAGUGAGGGUGGGGGGAGCAGUAUGUCCUCCUUCUCAGGAGAAAUGAGCUUUUACCCUUCCAUCUACUCCUUUAGCACAUGUAUGAGCCCCGCUCCUCUUGCAGCCUACCUGCCCAAGCGGGCCUUUGGUAGACGCAGCUCUGUGCCCUGAAACCUCCAGUUCAGAUCACAUGUGCUUGAUUAAUACACCAAGUUCCAGUAUGCAUGUUACAUUAGUGUUGAGUCUCACAGAAGAACUAGUUAUGUGAGAAAUUUCUUAAUGUCUUAUUGGACCCUGUAUUUAAAACAACCCGAGUAACACAACUGCCUUAAGUUCAGAACAUACUAAAGAGAAAAGGUAAAAUGUUUUACACUGUGAGAAACUUGAUAAAGUCUUUGGUGAUUGACUGCUAUUCUACCUGAAUGCACUAAUAGAGAUACAUUAGAAUGCACUGUGGAAGUUUGUUUUACUUAAACAGCUCUUAGCCUAUAGAUCUGUAAAUGCAUUUUAUUUUAUUUCUCAAAACUGAAGUGCCUCUUCAAACUAAGUGCAUAAGUGUUGUAUGAUGUUUUUAUGACACUGACAGCAAAUUACCAGAAAUGUAUUGUUUUGAAAGUAGGACAAUGAACAACUCCAUUCUAUUGUAUUUUGAGAGUCACAGCAUGUAAAAUUUGGAUUUUUCUUUUCUUUUUGAUCAAGAUGUGAACAUAUAUUCACUGAUUUUCUGGGACAAAUAUAAAAAAACUAAUGAUAUGCAAUGAAAUGCUUUGACAUCAUACUUACUACUAGUACCACAAGUAUGAUAAUAAAAUCCUAUAAACCUGAUCA